UGGGGAAUAUUGGACAAUGGGCGAAAGCCUGAUCCAGCCAUGCCGCGUGUGUGAAGAAGGUCUUCGGAUUGUAAAGCACUUUAAGUUGGGAGGAAGGGCAGUAAGCGAAUACCUUGCUGUUUUGACGUUACCGACAGAAUAAGCACCGGCUAACUCUGUGCCAGCAGCCGCGGUAAUACAGAGGGUGCAAGCGUUAAUCGGAAUUACUGGGCGUAAAGCGCGCGUAGGUGGUUCGUUAAGUUAAAUGUGAAAGCCCCGGGCUCAACCUGGGAACUGCAUCAAAAACUGGCGAGCUAGAGUAGGGCAGAGGGUGGUGGAAUUUCCUGUGUAGCGGUGAAAUGCGUAGAUAUAGGAAGGAACACCAGUGGCGAAGGCGACCACCUGGGAUCAUACUGACACUGAGGUGUGAAAGCGUGGGGAGCAAACAGG
This 429-nucleotide ribosomal RNA is filed under the name Pseudomonadota bacterium. RNAcentral describes it as "Proteobacteria bacterium partial 16S ribosomal RNA". It matches the Rfam family "Bacterial small subunit ribosomal RNA", at positions 355 to 776 of the family's 1533-position model. The record is from RNAcentral. Lineage: Bacteria; Pseudomonadati; Pseudomonadota.